AGGAUGUUGUGCUGGCCCCCAGAGAGUUUCCCGGUGUUGUCUGUCCCCCCACCGGGUCCGUCUGCCCACCCUGCCAGGCCCGGUUGCCUGGGGGUUUUCCCAAAACUCAACCCCCAGUAGCUAAAACGCUGGGUUGGUGUGGAAAGGGGACUUUUCCCGGGCUGAAGGGGAAGCAGCGGGGUCUCACACCAGCCCUGGGGGUCGGCGUCCUUGCCGUCCAACAAAAUGACUCGGGGUGGGAGGACGGGGGGAAAAAAAAGCUGCACUCCCCAGAAUUCCCCCACCGGUGGCUUGGCAGCAGCCGCCUGACAAAGUGUCUUCCCCGUCAGGAGGCUCCUGGCCCCUGGCCAGGUGGGACCCUGCCAGCGCCGAUGGAUGCCCGAGGUGCUUCCAUGCCCCCUUGCUCCUGGCUAACCAGCACCAGUUCUUCAGUGGCAAGCUUUAUGUCCUUCUCCAGUAGCUAAAGCUGCCAGUUGAAGAACUGUUGAAUGUAGCCACUCUCUUCUUGUCACUGGGACCUUGGAUGCCAGCCAGACCCGUGCCCCGAGUGACCAGGAUCAGCCAGUCUGAAGCGUCCUGUGGAUUUGAGGGCUGAGGAUGAGUCCAGCCGGGAUGAAGAAGUCUCUCCACAGCCUCCAGACAGAGCCUUGGCUGGGGGAUUGCCAGGCAGCCCUAUCAGCGGGGUCCCGCUGCAGUGGGGUGUCACUGAGCUGAGAGGAGACCAAAAGAGGCAUUAAACUUUCUGUUUUGCUCAACAGUUCAGUUUUAGGAAGUUUGUUGCCCAUGGGGUGCCCGGACUUGCCUGGUGGGUAGAUGGUGGGGGUUGUAAACCCUUUGGGGUGCUGGGGGGACCACAGCACCAGAGCUCAAUCCCUGAUGCCCCAUUGGGGUCUGCAGGUGGAGGGUUGGUUGUUCAGGUCCCCUGGGUUUGCCCCGAGCCAGAGGUGAGCCAAGGCUGGGCGUAGCCCACAGGUCUGACCUGCUGUUGAGCUCAGGAGCUGGAUUAAUCCUGCGACAUGCCAGGCAGUGGGAUGGAGCCUGGGGAGAGGGCUGGCUCCACACCCACGCUGCCCUGGUGCGGGUCAGGGCCGGCUGCGGUGGGGCCGGG
This 1108-nucleotide long non-coding RNA is filed under the name Manacus vitellinus (golden-collared manakin). RNAcentral's name for it is "lncRNA (ENSMVIG00005010863.1)". The stretch from base 409 to 495 matches the Rfam family "mir-22 microRNA precursor family". Lineage: Eukaryota; Metazoa; Chordata; Aves; Passeriformes; Pipridae. The record is from RNAcentral.